RNAcentral lists this ribosomal RNA (485 nucleotides) under Pseudomonas sp. RNAcentral's name for it is "bacterial SSU rRNA". It matches the Rfam family "Bacterial small subunit ribosomal RNA", at positions 271 to 749 of the family's 1533-position model. The record is from RNAcentral. Lineage: Bacteria; Pseudomonadati; Pseudomonadota; Gammaproteobacteria; Pseudomonadales; Pseudomonadaceae.
AGGCGACGAUCCCUAGCUGGUCUGAGAGGAUGACCAGCCACACUGGAACUGAGACACGGUCCAGACUCCUACGGGAGGCAGCAGUGGGGAAUAUUGCACAAUGGGCGCAAGCCUGAUGCAGCCAUGCCGCGUGUAUGAAGAAGGCCUUCGGGUUGUAAAGUACUUUCAGCGGGGAGGAAGGGAGUAAAGUUAAUACCUUUGCUCAUUGACGUUACCCGCAGAAGAAGCACCGGCUAACUCCGUGCCAGCAGCCGCGGUAAUACGGAGGGUGCAAGCGUUAAUCGGAAUUACUGGGCGUAAAGCGCACGCAGGCGGUUUGUUAAGUCAGAUGUGAAAUCCCCGGGCUCAACCUGGGAACUGCAUCUGAUACUGGCAAGCUUGAGUCUCGUAGAGGGGGGUAGAAUUCCAGGUGUACGCGGUGAAAUGCGUAGAGAUCUGGAGGAAUACCGGUGGCGAAGGCGGCCCCCUGACGAAGACUACGUCAG